CGGACUGCAGGCUGCAACUCGCCUGCACGAAGUUGGAAUUGCUAGUAAUCGUGGAUCAGCAUGCCACGGUGAAUACGUUCUCGGGUCUUGUACACACCGCCCGUCACACCAUGGGAGCCGGUAAUACCCGAAGUCAGUAGUCUAACCGCAAGGAGGACGCUGCCGAAGGUAGGAUUGGCGACUGGGGUGAAGUCGUAACAAGGUAAC
Molecule: ribosomal RNA, 207 nt
Filed under: uncultured bacterium
Lineage: Bacteria
Description: partial 16S ribosomal RNA
Rfam family: Bacterial small subunit ribosomal RNA
Source: RNAcentral